This is a long non-coding RNA of Thalassophryne amazonica, 300 nucleotides long. RefSeq lists it as uncharacterized. The record is from RefSeq and is a predicted model, not a curated record. The transcript has 2 exons. NCBI's taxonomy places the organism in Eukaryota, Metazoa, Chordata, Actinopteri, Batrachoidiformes, Batrachoididae.
ACUCAGAAGGUGUUCCAGUACAAUACGAAACAAAAUGGACUCAACUCUUUCACGUUUUCCAGUUUCAUCUGAAAGGAUUCAAAGGAAGGCUAACACUAGCUAAUUUAGGUUAACUUUAAAAAUCACAGUUACCACCACGUCUUCAAAGAUGCUUUGCAGCUGCGUUUCCAUCGACAGCGCCAUGAUGUCCUUAAAAACGAAACACGAAGUAUCUUCUCAGUUCAGCAUCACAUAAAUUAUCGCUGAUCUGAAUGCUAACGCUCAAAGCUAACAACGCAGCAAUGAGCGCAACCGCAAAAA